RNAcentral lists this ribosomal RNA (216 nucleotides) under uncultured bacterium. RNAcentral describes it as "partial 16S ribosomal RNA". It matches the Rfam family "Bacterial small subunit ribosomal RNA", at positions 122 to 334 of the family's 1533-position model. The record is from RNAcentral.
CCGUCCAUACAGGGGGAAGGGUAAACAAGGUUAAGAAAUAGACUGCUAAUACCGCAUAAGCGCACAGUGCUGCAUGGCACAGUGUGAAAAACUCCGGUGGUAUGAGAUGGACCCGCGUCUGAUUAGCUAGUUGGUGGGGUAACGGCCUACCAAGGCGACGAUCAGUAGCCGGCCUGAGAGGGUGAACGGCCACAUUGGGACUGAGACACGGCCCAA